CCAACGGCCCUCUUUAGGGCCAAUCAUUAAUAUAAAAUAUAACUUU
Molecule: non-coding RNA, 46 nt
Filed under: Strongyloides ratti
Lineage: Eukaryota; Metazoa; Nematoda; Chromadorea; Rhabditida; Strongyloididae
Description: sRNA SRAE_X000600043
Rfam family: Histone 3' UTR stem-loop
About the family: The mRNAs of metazoan histone genes lack a poly-A tail.
Source: RNAcentral